GCUCCAAGGGCCGGAAGUUCGAGCGUGCCAGAGGCCGACUGGACAACCAAGGCCACAAAAACUAACCCGGGGCUGGGAGCGGUGGCUCACGCCUGUAAUCCCAGCACUUUGGGAUGCCGAGGCGGGGCGGAUCACGAACGAGAGUAUCUGUUUUGCAUUCCUUACUUGGUGGAGGUAGAAUGAGAGCCAAUGAUUCUUCACCAUCACACAGCCGGUUAUCAAGAUAGCCCUUCAGUCACAAGCAAUGCCCAGUGAACUGCAGAUUCUCAUCAGUUCAGAACAAGGCCACACAUGGAGACAAAGCAUGAUGAAUAGUCUGUUACUAUAACCCAGAGGAGCUGACCUUGGCAUUGUAUGUCUACAAUAUCAUCCUAGAUACUUUAUGUAAUUCAUUCCGUACAAAACCAUUAUGAGGUUUUCCAAGUUGGUUCAAACUAAUGUGAACUUUCUGGAUCUGGUCCAG
This 463-nucleotide long non-coding RNA is filed under the name Homo sapiens (human). RNAcentral's name for it is "HSALNT0362390". The record is from RNAcentral. Lineage: Eukaryota; Metazoa; Chordata; Mammalia; Primates; Hominidae.